AAAGGGUAGGUCAGCCACCGUGUGGUUGUGGUGGUUCAAGCAGGUAGGCGGUUGUUCCAGGACGCUACGCGACAAACGGAGCAGCUUAACGCCGAGAUGCGAUGAGGAGGCGACUUCUUCGGAAGACGCCGCAACUGAUUAAUCCCACGCUUCCGAGAAAAGCCUCGGGUGGAGAAUAUUCGACGACCGUACCGCAAACCGACACAGGUGGGUGGGGAGAGUAUCCCAAGGCGCUUGAGAGAACCCUGGUUAAGGAACUAGGCAAAUUGACACCGUAACUUCGGGAGAAGGUGUGCCCCCGGUAUGUGAAGCGGCUUGCCCGCAGAGCAGAUGGGGGUUGCAGUGAAACGGGGGUAGCGACUGUUUACUAAAAACACAGGACUCUGCAAAGUCGUAAGACGAAGUAUAGGGUCUGACGCCUGCCCGGUGCUGGAAGGUUAAGAGGAGAUGUCAGGGGCAACCCGAAGCUUCGAAUCGAAGCCCCAGUAAACGGCGGCCGUAACAAUAACGGUCCUAAGGUAGCGAAAUUCCUUGUCGGGUAAGUUCCGACCUGCACGAAUGGCGUAACGACUUCCCCACUGUCUCGACCAGGGACUCAGCGAAAUUGAAUUCUCGGUGAAGAUGCCGAGUACCCGCGGCAAGACGGAAAGACCCCGUGAACCUUCACUACAGCUUGGCACUGAACUUCGGGCUAUUCUGUGUAGAAUAGGUGGGAGGCUGUGAAACGUGGACGCCAGUCUGCGUGGAGCCAUCGUUGAAAUACCACCCUGGAUAUUCUGGAGUUCUCACCGCGGCCCGUCAUGCGGGUCCGGGACAAUGUCUGGCGGGUAGUUUGACUAGGGCGGUCGCCUCCCAAAAAGUAACGGAGGCGCGCGAAGGUUCCCUCAGCCUGAUUGGAAACCAGGCGUAGAGUGCAAAGGCAUAAGGGAGCUUGACUGCGAGAGCGACAGCUCGAGCAGGUGGGAAACCAGGCCUUAGUGAUCCGGUGGUUCUGUGUGGAAGGGCCAUCGCUCAACGGAUAAAAGGUACUCCGGGGAUAACAGGCUUAUCUCCCCCAAGAGUUCACAUCGACGGGGAGGUUUGGCACCUCGAUGUCGGCUCGUCGCAUCCUGGGGCUGGAGUAGGUCCCAAGGGUUUGGCUGUUCGCCAAUUAAAGCGGCACGCGAGCUGGGUUUAGAACGUCGUGAGACAGUUCGGUCCCUAUCUGCCGUGGGCGCAGGAGGUUUGAGAGGAGCUGUCCUUAGUACGAGAGGACCGGGAUGGACGUAUCACUGGUGUUCCGGUUGUCGCGCCAGCGGCACUGCCGGGUAGCCACAUGCGGACGGGAUAACCGCUGAAAGCAUCUAAGCGGAAAGCCCCCCUCAAGAUGAGACCUCCCAGGGUAAUACCCCUGAAGGCCCCUUGAAGACUACAAGGUUGAUAGGCUGGGUGUGCAAGCGCAGCGAUGCGUUCAGCUGACCAGUACUAAUGGGCCGUGAGGCUUGACCAC
This 1489-nucleotide ribosomal RNA is filed under the name metagenome. RNAcentral describes it as "bacterial LSU rRNA". It matches the Rfam family "Bacterial large subunit ribosomal RNA", at positions 1477 to 2925 of the family's 2925-position model. The record is from RNAcentral.